AUUUUUUAUAACUACAGCAAGCAGUUCAGUAAUUCAGUAAACAGGACACCUGUGUACUCAGCCUAACCAUCGCAGGCAUGAGAUCGGAAGAGAACAC
Vicugna pacos (alpaca) is the source of this 97-nucleotide non-coding RNA. Lineage: Eukaryota; Metazoa; Chordata; Mammalia; Artiodactyla; Camelidae. The record is from RefSeq and is a predicted model, not a curated record.